CAUAUUCAUGACAAUCCGGAUUUUCAAGCAUUAGUCGAUCAUUAUACCAUUCCUCGGAUAACCAGUUCAAUAUUAAAUUUGUACUGGAACGCCAGUUAGAUGCAACGUAAGUAAAAAGCUGCCCUCGAACAAAUGAAGACAAAGUGAAAGAAGCAUCUCCAGAUUCCUCACCAGACGUUACAGGCUGAUAAUUCAAUAAGCCUCGCGUACAAAGUCGUGGUAAGAGAAUUGCCCAGUGACGCUUAUCCCAUACCGUAUUAUCCACAUUUUCCAACGUUAAAUUUUGAAGGUUAGAAGAAGAAACUAUGCUUCUUUCAAAUUGAGGAGCAUAAUCAAAUAAUCUGGAUAAGGCACCGUGAAAGUAUUCUAGAAUAGCCAUCGGGGACAGCGAAUCUGGAGUGGGUAAUUCAAACGCAUCAGUAACGACAUUGGAGGGAGCACUUCCCUCUAGUCGAGCUGCUUCACGUUCUACACUAGCAUUGAUAGUCUGAACAUCUACCUCAGGCGGUUCAUAAUCCUCGUCCUCGUCUUCAUCAACUUGUUGAUCAAGACCAAGGGAUUCAGGCUCAGAGAGAGAGCGCACUCUCUCUCUCAACAUAUUAAUUUGCUGAUGAAAGUAGUUUUUGUCUAUCUUAAGAAGAGAAGUAAGUACAAUUUCAGUAGCCACUUCAACCGGAAUUGAAGUUACAUCAAAAUUUGCAAGAGGAUUUAUAGCAGUUUGUGAAGCAAAUAUGCUGAUUAAGGGAUUAUUUUGCAAACCAUCGUGA
Schizosaccharomyces pombe (fission yeast) is the source of this 767-nucleotide non-coding RNA. Lineage: Eukaryota; Fungi; Ascomycota; Schizosaccharomycetes; Schizosaccharomycetales; Schizosaccharomycetaceae. The record is from the annotation of a GenBank genome assembly.